GUGUUGUAAGUGUCUAAGGGCGCACGGUGGAUGCCUUGGCGCAAGGAGCCGAUGAAGGACGUGGGAGGCUGCGAUAUGCCUCGGGGAGCUGUCAACCGAGCUGUGAUCCGAGGAUUUCCGAAUGGGGAAACCCAGCACCAGUCAUGUGGUGUUACCCGCCGUUGAAUAUAUAGACGGUGUGGAGGGAACGAGGGGAAGUGAAACAUCUCAGUACCCUCAGGAAGAGAAAACAAUAGUGAUUCCGUGAGUAGUGGCGAGCGAAAGCGGAUGAGGCUAAACCAUGCACAUGUGAUACCGGGUAGGGGUUGUGUGUGUGGUGUUGUGGGGUUCAUCUUUCCAGCUCUACCUGGCUGGACAGCAGUAAGAAAGUGUCAUGUUAGGUGAAGUGACCUGGAAUGGUCCGCCGGAGAGGGUGAGAGUCCCGUAACUGAAAACGUGGUGCCUGUUGUGAUGGAUACCCGAGUAGCAGCGAGCCCGUGGAAUUUGCUGUGAAUCUGCCGGGACCACCCGGUAAGCCUGAAUACUACCUUGCGACCGAUAGCGGACAAGUACCGUGAGGGAAAGGUGAAAAGUACCCCGGGAGGGGAGUGAAAUAGUACCUGAAACCGUGUGCUUACAAUCCGUCAGAGCCCUCGUUGUGGGGUGAUGGCGUGCCUUUUGAAGAAUGAGCCUGCGAGUCAGUGCUCGGUGGCGAGGUUAACCCGUUGUGGGGUAGCCGUAGCGAAAGCGAGUCCGAAUAGGGCGUUUGAGUCGCCGGGUCUGGACCCGAAGCGGAGUGAUCUACCCAUGGCCAGGGUGAAGCAGCAGUAAGAUGUUGUGGAGGCCCGAACCCACUUAGGUUGAAAACUGAGGGGAUGAGCUGUGGGUAGGGGUGAAAGGCCAAUCAAACUCCGUGAUAGCUGGUUCUCCCCGAAAUGCAUUUAGGUGCAGCGUCACGUGUUUCUUGCCGGAGGUAGAGCUACUGGAUGGCCGAUGGGCCCUCACAGGUUACUGACGUCAGCCAAACUCCGAAUGCCGGUAAGUGAGAACGUGGCAGUGAGACUGCGGGGGAUAAGCUUCGUAGUCGAGAGGGAAACAGCCCAGAUCGCCGGCUAAGGCCCCUAAGCGUGUACUAAGUGGAAAAGGAUGUCCGGUCGCGAAGACAACCAGGAGGUUGGCUUAGAAGCAGCCACCCUUGAAAGAGUGCGUAAUAGCUCACUGGUCUAGUGGCUGGGCGCCGACAAUGUAGCGGGGCUCAAGUACACCGCCGAAGCCGCGGCACUCACAGUUUUGACUGUGGGUGGGUAGGGGAGCGUCGUGCAGCCGUAGAAGCAGCAGGGUGACCUAGUUGUGGAGGCUGUGCGAGUGAGAAUGCAGGCAUGAGUAGCGAAUGACAAGUGAGAAACUUGUCCUCCGGAUGACCAAGGGUUCCUGGGCUAGGUUAAUCCUCCCAGGGUGAGUCGGGACCUAAGGCGAGGCCGACAGGCGUAGUCGAUGGACAACGGGUUGAUAUUCCCGUACCCGUGUCAGAUCGCCCCUGAUGAAUCAGUUGUACUAACCGUCCUGAAGCCGCGAGAUCACCUUCGGGUGACGAGCUGGUGGAUGCACGGGACCUCGGCUGGUAGUAGUCAAGCGAUGGGGUGACGCAGGAAGGUAGUGGGGCCAGUCAGUGGUUGUACUGGUGUAAGCCUGUAGGGCGAGAUCUAGGCAAAUCCGGAUCUCAUAUAAGCCUGAGAGGUGAUGCGUAGCCGUUGCGGCGAAUUCCAUGAUCCUAUGCUGCCGAGAAAAGCCUCUAGCGAGAUCUGAUGUGGCCCGUACCCCAAACCAACACAGGUGGUCAGGUAGAGAAUACCAAGGAGAUCGAGAGAACUGUGGUUAAGGAACUCGGCAAAAUGCCCCCGUAACUUCGGGAGAAGGGGGACCUCGUCUGGUGAUGAUCUUUACGGUCGGAGCUGGGUGGGGUCGCAGAGACCAGAGAGAAGCGACUGUUUACUAAAAACACAGGUCCAUGCGAAGUCGUAAGACGAUGUAUAUGGACUGACGCCUGCCCGGUGCUGGAAGGUUAAGAGGACCGGUUAGCCGUAAGGCGAAGCUGAGAAUUUAAGCCCCAGUAAACGGCGGUGGUAACUAUAACCAUCCUAAGGUAGCGAAAUUCCUUGUCGGGUAAGUUCCGACCUGCACGAAUGGCGUAACGACUUCUCUGCUGUCUCAACCACAGACUCGGCGAAAUUGCAGUACGAGUAAAGAUGCUCGUUACGCGCGGCAGGACGAAAAGACCCCGGGACCUUCACUAUAGCUUGGUAUUGGUGUUCGGUUCGGUUUGUGUAGGAUAGGUGGGAGACUGUGAAGCGGGCACGCCAGUGUUCGUGGAGUCGUUGUUGAAAUACCACUCUGAUCGUAUUGGAUACCUCAACCUCGGACCAUGAUCUGGUUCAGGGACAGUGCCU
RNAcentral lists this ribosomal RNA (2426 nucleotides) under Tsukamurella pulmonis. RNAcentral's name for it is "bacterial LSU rRNA". It matches the Rfam family "Bacterial large subunit ribosomal RNA", at positions 1 to 2259 of the family's 2925-position model. Lineage: Bacteria; Bacillati; Actinomycetota; Actinomycetes; Mycobacteriales; Tsukamurellaceae. The record is from RNAcentral.